This 552-nucleotide long non-coding RNA is filed under the name Homo sapiens (human). Its description in RNAcentral is "non-protein coding lnc-ODF3L1-2:6". The record is from RNAcentral. Lineage: Eukaryota; Metazoa; Chordata; Mammalia; Primates; Hominidae.
GUGAUCGUCGAAUCUGUUGACCUGGCGCCACCGGAAAAAGAAAUUCCCGGGCCCUGGCUUCUUGGCCUGAUGGUGCUAAAGUGGAGGGCCUCCCAUGGGGUGUUCAGCCUGGGUGUGUAGAAGCACACAGUGUGGUACAGAGGACCCUCUCCAGACAGGUGACCCCUCAUGCUGCUGCUCCCUCUGCUGAAACCCAAACUGCAAACCUCUCCUCUCCCUGCCUUCACCUUGCCCCACGGCUUCCACAGACAGUGCCUCAACCCCGAGGAAUGAAUCCGAAGUUCCAACACCACUGACUUUCCCAGGAACUCAGAGCCAGAGAGGGCCAAGGACCAGCUCGAGGACACACAGCCAGGGCUUCUUCCCUCCGAAACCCCCAAGGACUGGACUUGCAGGGCUGGGACAGAGGUGGGGUGGGGGAAAGCAAUGCCUUGUCAACCCACGUGGGGAGCCCCACUCCCAUCCCCAAGGUGCAUAAAGUUGAGGAACACCCCUGCUCCCACGUCCAUGCUCAUUCAGGGCCCUGCUCCAAGUGCUUGGCACUCACACCAG